GCCGAAGUGGCGGAAUUGGUAGACGCAGGGGACUCAAAAUCCCCCGCCCUUAAAAGCGUGUGGGUUCGAGUCCCACCUUCGGCACCA
This 87-nucleotide transfer RNA is filed under the name Pseudomarimonas arenosa. Its description in RNAcentral is "tRNA-Leu". It matches the Rfam family "tRNA". Rfam says of the family: Transfer RNA (tRNA) molecules are approximately 80 nucleotides in length. The record is from RNAcentral. Lineage: Bacteria; Pseudomonadati; Pseudomonadota; Gammaproteobacteria; Lysobacterales; Lysobacteraceae.